This 504-nucleotide ribosomal RNA is filed under the name uncultured bacterium. Its description in RNAcentral is "partial 16S ribosomal RNA". It matches the Rfam family "Bacterial small subunit ribosomal RNA", at positions 30 to 523 of the family's 1533-position model. The record is from RNAcentral.
AUUGAACGCUGGCGGCAGGCCUAACACAUGCAAGUCGGACGGUAGCACAGAGAGCUUGCUCUUGGGUGACGAGUGGCGGACGGGUGAGUAAUGUCUGGGGAUCUGCCCGAUAGAAGGGGAUAACCACUGGAAACGGUGGCUAAUACCGCAUAACGUCGCAAGACCAAAGAGGGGGACCUUCGGGCCUCUCACUAUCGGAUGAACCCAGAUGGGAUUAGCUAGUAGGCGGGGUAAUGGCCCACCUAGGCGACGAUCCCUAGCUGGUCUGAGAGGAUGACCAGCCACACUGGAACUGAGACACGGUCCAGACUCCUACGGGAGGCAGCAGUGGGGAAUAUUGCACAAUGGGCGCAAGCCUGAUGCAGCCAUGCCGCGUGUAUGAAGAAGGCCUUCGGGUUGUAAAGUACUUUCAGCGGGGAGGAAGGCGGUGAGGUUAAUAACCUUGCCGAUUGACGUUACCCGCAGAAGAAGCACCGGCUAACUCCGUGCCAGCAGCCGCCGUAA